AAUAACAAGGAUUCCCUUAGUAACGGCGAGUGAACAGGGAUGAGCCCAGCACCGAAGCCUUUGGCCAUUUGGUCACUAGGCAAUGUGGUGUUUAGGUUGGUCCGCAGAGGCACUGCUCCACUCUGAGUCCAGCAAUGAGUAUGGUAGCAUGGACAUGGCCCAUUGAGGGUGAAAGGCCCGUAAGGGUGGAGUUCAAGCAGGCCAGUGCCUCUCUGGAUUGACCUAAGAGUCGGGUUGUUUGUGAAUGCAGCCCAAAGUGGGUGGUAAACUCCAUCCAAGGCUAAAUACAAGCACGAGUCCGAUAGCGAACAAGUACCGUGAGGGAAAGUUGAAAAGUACUUUGAAGAGAGAGUAAACAGUGCGUGAAACCGCUCAGAGGUAAACGGGUGGAGUUGAACUGCAUGCUCCGUGAAUUCAGCUGGUGAGAUUGUUGUGGGCUUGGUCAAGUGGGGUAGACACUGAGGUAUGCUUAGCUGCAUGUCCCGGCCUACAGGUUGGGAUGCGCGAUACGCUCAUCAUGCGUUGCGCGCCUCUGUUGUUUAUCUGCCCUCUCGCCGGUGCAUUUUCGCGGAGUGAUCACCAAGAUCGGCGUUGCUGUCCGGCUGCUUCAGUUAAACCGGUCUUACGCGUCCUUGCGGCGUUGUUUGGUCGGGACGGCAGGUAGCCUGUUAGCUUGCUCUGCUUGCUUUCGGGUAUAAUCAGCUGACUGAGGCGGGACUGUGCAGUGCGUCGGAGCUGGCGGCCAGUUGUGCAUGCUCGUGUGUCAUGCCUUCCGAAGGAUCCUGUUUUGAUCGCUAUGUUGCCUGUUUCGGCGGGUCUAGCGGUAGACGGGGUUCUAUUGGUUGGUGGUUCCGCGGGUUGCACUUUACAGGGCCAAAAGUCUUUGGUGUCGUGGUAGACUAUCCACCUGACCCGUCUUGAAACACGGACCAAGGAGAGUAACAUGUGCGCGAGUCAUUGGGCGUAACGAAACCCAAAGGCGUAGUGAAAGUAAAGGACUGGCUUGUCCAGUCUGAGGUGAGAUCCUGUCGUUUCUCAUGCGUGGUACCACCAAGCUUGGAGCGAUAGGCGCAUCACCGGCCCGUCCCAUGAUGUAGACACGGUCAUUGUACUCGUGCACCGUCGGGGCGGAGCAUGAGCGCACACGUUGAGACCCGAAAGAUGGUGAACUAUGCUUGCGCAGGUUGAAGCCAGAGGAAACUCUGGUGGAGGACCGCAGCGAUUCUGACGUGCAAAUCGAUCGUCAAACGUGAGUAUAGGGGCGAAAGACUAAUC
RNAcentral lists this ribosomal RNA (1275 nucleotides) under Gorgodera cygnoides. Its description in RNAcentral is "eukaryotic LSU rRNA". It matches the Rfam family "Eukaryotic large subunit ribosomal RNA", at positions 64 to 936 of the family's 3401-position model. Lineage: Eukaryota; Metazoa; Platyhelminthes; Trematoda; Plagiorchiida; Gorgoderidae. The record is from RNAcentral.